RNAcentral lists this ribosomal RNA (383 nucleotides) under uncultured eukaryote. RNAcentral describes it as "partial 18S ribosomal RNA". It matches the Rfam family "Eukaryotic small subunit ribosomal RNA", at positions 592 to 976 of the family's 1831-position model. The record is from RNAcentral.
CAAUUGCGUAUAUUAAAGUUGUUGCAGUUAAAAAGCUCGUAGUUGGAUUUCUGGUGGGAGCGAUCGGUCUGGCGCUUAGCGCGAGUACUUGCAUCGUCUCCGGCCAUCCUUGGGGAGAGUCUGUCUGGCAUUAGGUUGUCGGGCAGAGGAUCCUCAUCGUUUACUGUGAAAAAAUUAGAGUGUUCAAAGCAGGCUUAUGCCGUUGAAUAUAUUAGCAUGGAAUAAUAAGAUAGGACUUUGGUACUAUUUUGUUGGUUUGCGCACCAAAGUAAUGAUUAAUAGGGACAGUUGGGGGUAUUCGUAUUCCGUUGUCAGAGGUGAAAUUCUUGGAUUUACGGAAGACGAACUACUGCGAAAGCAUUUACCAAGGAUGUUUUCAUUAA